CGUAGGUGCGAGCGUUGUCCGGAAUUAUUGGGCGUAAAGAGCUCGUAGGCGGUCCGUCGCGUCGAUUGUGAAACCCGGGGCUCAACUCCGGGCUUGCACUCGAUACGGGCGGACUAGAGUUCGGUAGGGAGACUGGAAUUCCUGGUGUAGCGGUGAAAUGCGCAGAUAUCAGGAGGAACGCCGGUGGCGAAGGCGGGUCUCUGGGCCGAUACUGACGCUGAGGAGCGAAAGCGUGGGGAGCGAACAGGAUU
Molecule: ribosomal RNA, 251 nt
Filed under: uncultured bacterium
Lineage: Bacteria
Description: partial 16S ribosomal RNA
Rfam family: Bacterial small subunit ribosomal RNA
Source: RNAcentral